GGUUAAUUUCUUGCACGAUAUUUUAAAAAAUCGCAAAAAUUAAUAAUAUUUAUUUCGAGUAAUUUAAAAUUUAGUGUGAUUUACGUUUCAGAACAAGGUAGAUUUUAUCAUAAAAAUCAUUGCAUGUGGGUUUUCUAUAUUUUCUUUUUUCUUCACCUUCCCUGCCCACUUGAUCUUGAAAAAGGUGUUUUAGAAAUGAAGAGAGAUGAAAGGAUUGAUGAAUGCAAGGAGAAAAAGUGCAAAAGUUGAAUAAAUCAUUGGGAAAAAUUUCAUAUACAAGUUCGGGACCACGAUCAUGUUUGUCGAGAGAUCACGUUUAAAGAGUGGGUCGUGAGACGAUUUGCAAUCGGUCGGUUUAAAGGCCGUUGGAAUAAAAUCAGAAACUUGCGCCAUGUAAACUUGACCCAAAGAUUCAAUCUCAUAUACUUUACUAAACGAAACCCGUUUCAAAAGAUCCCAUCGCGAGUCCACCGAAGCGCAAAACGAUGACUAGCAUUGUACCUCGUCUCCUCGAGCAUUGUUUUAUUUUUUUCAACGCUAUACACUUCCUGCAUCAAGACAACAUCUCAAACUAAACUUCCUCCCAUAAAACAGAACAAGAUAAACCAUAGGAACAAGAAUUAAAAUACAGAAUAAAGAUUAUGUGUAAAAUUAUCUAUUUUGACAAAAUCGAAGAAAUGAAUUUCAAAAUAUUGAUAAUUUUGAUAAAAUUCGACAAAUGUUGAUGUCUGACGUUAUGAACCGUAAAAAAAUUUUGAAAUUUAAAAAUAUUAAGUAAUCAAACAAAAUUAUGUGUAAAAUUAUCAAUUUUCACACAAUCGGAGAAUUGAAUUUUAAAAUAUUGAUAAUUUUGAAAAAAUUUCCAAAUUGUCAAAUAAAAGAGAAAGGAAGAAACUGAAACGAUAAUAAAUAAAGAAAGAAUAUGGAAAAAUGAUAUUGCACUUUAUAUUCCAGAGGGAUCGUCAUGAGAUUCAAUAAAUUGCAAAAGAUGAUGGGAACUUAGAUGUUGAAAGACUCACAGGUGAGAAAUGCCCUGAGAAAUGGACUAUACGAACUAUUAUUCUAUGAUUUGAAGAGAAUGAAAUAAUUUUUCAUUCAUUGAUAAAUAGUGAAAUCCAACAAACCGGAAUACGAAUAAUGGAAAUAAAUAUAAUUACUGUAUUAAUUGCUCAUUAUAAAAUCUUCAAAUGAAAAUUCAUUAACAAUAUUUUUCACUGAAAGAAAUUACCAAAUUUUACUAUUUGUUUAUAUUAUUUAUUAUUAUUUUUUAUAUAAAAAUUUCAUCUAUAAAUUAAAUAAAAAUUUAAUUUUUUUUUUAAAUGGUAAAAUAUUUUUUACAAAAAUUAUUAUUUUUAUUACAUAUUUUUAUUUUCAUUUUCAUUAAAUAUUGUCUAAUUAAAAAAAACUGUUUUAUUUAAUAAAAAAAAAGGAAUCAAUAAUUCUUUCCGUUGAAAAAUAUUGAAAAUUAAUUUUUUUUCAAAAUCAUGUUCUAUAAAGGAGAAAAAAUUGAUUUGUUUCGUGAUUUUGAAAAUUAUAUAGUUCGAAAAGCUAUGCGAGUUUAAGAAAAUUAUUAGUCUCUUUUACACGACGCAAUUCCGCCACGAGUCAUUCAAUGUUUAUUGCGUAAUUUCAACGUGUAAUUGACUCUUAUUCGUGAGAGUUACGCAUCGAUAUAUAGUGGAAACUCUUGAUAUAAACUCUUUUGAAAUAUAAUCCCACGAGAUUUUUCACACGUCCUAAUACUAUUUACUAAUUUAAUUCCAAUUUAAAUUACAUUAACAAAAGAUUUCUCUAUUUUUACAGUAUAGACUUAAAAGAAAUUAUAAAAAAUUAUUAAUUAUAUAUACAAUUAAUUAGUAUUAUCAUCUAAUAGAAUAUUAGUGUGUAUACUAGUAUUAAUUAAAAGCAACUAAUGAGA
Leptopilina boulardi is the source of this 1918-nucleotide long non-coding RNA. RefSeq lists it as uncharacterized. The record is from RefSeq and is a predicted model, not a curated record. The transcript has 4 exons. Lineage: Eukaryota; Metazoa; Arthropoda; Insecta; Hymenoptera; Figitidae.